AAGUGAACUCCCGAUCUAUUGGGUCCUUUUAGCGGAAAAGGAACAGAGAGAACUCAAAAGAAACCAUUGUCACUCUGCGUGUACAAAACGUGCGUUCAAAAUUGGAUAGGUAUGUUAAAAAUUAGACCAGAACAAUCCACGGACUCACAUAGCGCCUGAAAAAAAAAAUAAAACCGCUUUUCUUUUUGUAUGAAUAAUGUCUGGUCUAAAUGGUUGGAUUCAGAUGAUAAUGAUGCGAUGGAAAGCGAAAACCACCAUAAACUAGCAGGCAACCGCCUAAGACAAAAGAGUUUUUAGAGAGAGUGAGAACGAAAGAGAGAGAAAAUCAAAGGUUGUUUUCUCUUUUUUUUAUAAUUUUAUAAUAGCAGCCUAAUUAAAAGAGAAGAGAAAAGAAGCUGAUGAUGAUAGAAUAAAUUUUAGAGAACAAAAAGUUUCCAUCUCUGUAUAAUUCUUCAAAAGAAAUGAUGAAAGAGAAGAAAGAUCAAGUCAGAGAAAGAAGAGAAGAGAGUACUUCUGGUGUGUGUGAAUUGUGAUAUCAAUUUCAAAUCCAUAUUUAGCUCUUUCUUUUUCUUUGCUUGACAUUAAUAAGACUAGACUGAAUCUCUAUAUCCUUAUCCAUUUCAACUUCAAAAACCAUUAUCAUAUCAGCUAUAUAGAGAGAGGUAGUGGGUUUGUGUUUGAUUUUGGAUUCUGGAAAUGGAGACUCCGCCAGCGGAGGAGCUGCUGAGGAAGAUCCAGAAGCUGGAAGCAGAGCAAGCACGCCUAAAGCAGGAGAUGUCUAAGCUUAAGCUCACUAGCGAUUCAAAAUCGGAGCAGUACUUGCCGCACCGGCAGCAGCAGUCGCACCAGCGCUCCCAUUCCAUAUCGCCGCAGAGGACGGGACCUAGGAGAAGGUGCGGCGUCGGGGCGGGGUCGGGUUUCGAGACGGUUGCAUCUUGGAAGAAGGGUUCGACGUCUUUUAGGCAUUCGUCGCCGUUGCGGAGAGAAAGCCGGAGUACGAGUAGUACUGAUAGUACUAAUGCCGCUAAAGGAGCAAACUGCGGGCCAUCGGCUGUCAAGUUUACUGAUAAGCAAUAUUUGAAUAUGUUGCAGUCUAUGGGGCAGUCUAUUCAUAUUUUUGAUCUUAGUGGUCGUAUCAUUUAUUGGAACCGAACGGCUGAAAUCCUUUAUGGCUAUUCUGCGGCAGAGGCUCUUGGACAGGAUGCCAUUGAGCUACUUGUAGAUCCUCAGGAAUUUCCGGUGGCAAAUAAUAUAGUGCAUCGUGUCACCAUGGGGGAGAGGUGGACAGGGCAGUUUCCAGUCAAGAACAAGAUGGGAGAGAGAUUUGCAGCUGUUGCCACCAAUACUCCAUUCUUUGAUGAUGAUGGUACUGUGGUCGGGAUUAUCUGUGUGUCAAAUGAUUCAAGGCCGUUUCAAGAAAUGAGGGUUGCAAUGGCAGAUUCAAAGAAUUCAGAAGCAGAUUCAAGCUUUAGUCGGCCUAGAAGUAUGGUCACAACAAAACUUGGUCUUGAUUCUCAACAGCCUCUUCAAGCAGCAAUUGCAUCUAAGAUAUCAAAUUUGGCAUCCAAGGUGAGCAACAAGGUGAAGUCGAAAAUGCGGACGGGAGAUAAUAGCCUGGAUCGUGAAGGUGAGAGUGGCGAUAGUCAUCAAUCUGACCGUGGCUUCUCAGAUGCAGCUUUCUCUGACCUUAGGGAGGAUGCUAACUCAAGUGGAGCUAGCACACCCAGAGGAGAUCUGCAUCUGUCUCAUUUUGGUACAUUUUCUCAUGUUGAGGACAGGUCCCCAACAAAACUCUCUAGAGAUUCUGGUGAUGAUAGCGAAGGAAAAUCUGCAGUUCACAAGAUUAUAUCCUCAAAAGCUGAGGCUUGGAUAGGCAAGAAAGGAUUGUCAUGGCCCUGGAGAGGAAAUGAAAGCGAAGGCUCAGAUACAAGGAGCACCCGCGUUAUGUGGCCCUGGUUGCAAAAUGAUCAAGAGAGUGAAACAGUUCAUCUGAGGAGCCCUGCUUCAGGUGCAAAACCUGAAAGCCAGGCAAAUGAAAGUAAUCGGCCUACCAAUAAUGAGGCCUCUGGGUCCUGGUCCUCAGUUAAUGUUAACAGCACAAGCAGUGCAAGCAGCUGUGGAAGUACCAGCAGUAGUGCUAUUAAUAAGAUAGACAUUGACUCUGACUGCUUGGAUUAUGAAAUUUUGUGGGAAGACUUGAAAAUUGGAGAACAAAUUGGGCAAGGUUCUUGUGGGACUGUAUAUCAUGCCCUGUGGUAUGGAUCAGAUGUUGCUGUCAAGGUAUUCUCCAAGCAAGAAUAUUCAGAAGAUUUUGUUCUAUCUUUUAGACAAGAGGUGUCUCUUAUGAAAAGACUUCGACAUCCAAAUGUAUUGCUUUUCAUGGGAGCUGUCACUUCAUCUCAACGUCUCUGCAUUGUUACAGAGUUCCUUCCACGUGGAAGUUUGUUUCGCUUACUCCAGAGGAACACAACCAAACUGGAUUGGAGGCGGCGUGUCCAUAUGGCAUUGGAUAUAACACGGGGUAUGAAUUAUCUUCAUCAUUGCAAUCCACCUAUCAUUCAUCGUGAUUUGAAGUCUUCAAACCUUCUGGUUGAUAAGAACUGGAGUGUAAAGGUUGGUGAUUUUGGUCUAUCACGUCUAAAGCAUGAAACUUACCUGACAACUAAGACUGGGAAGGGAACGCCUCAAUGGAUGGCACCAGAAGUUCUACGUAAUGAACCCUCAGAUGAAAAGUCCGAUGUAUACAGCUUUGGAGUGAUACUGUGGGAAAUUGCAACUGAGAAGAUCCCUUGGGAUAAUCUCAACUCAAUGCAGGUGAUUGGAGCUGUAGGGUUCAUGAACCAAAGGUUAGAGAUCCCCAAAGAUGUGGAUCCACAAUGGGCUUCUAUAAUUGAGAGUUGCUGGCACAGUGAUCCUCAGUGCCGUCCAACAUUCCAGGAACUACUGGAAAAGCUUAAAGAUAUGCAAAGACAAUGCAACAUUCAAAUCCAGGCAGCCCGUUCUGCAGCUGGAGAUAACACACAAAAGGAAUUAUAGACCAAAAUUCUUUUCCUUCAGAUUUAGUUUCAUUGACAUGGCCACAGAAAGCAGCAGCAUUUUCUUUUACGGCUAUCAAUCCCUGGUUACAACAAUUGCCCACAGAUUGCCUCUCAAGGUUCGUGGUAUUGGCCCAUAAGCGGGCAGAAAAGGAAAGGAAGAAAGAAAAUGAGUGCAGCAGUGCAGUGUCAUUGGAGUUAUGCUGGUUGGCUUCAUGUAACCAUUGGUAAUUUUGCGAGAGAUGCUUAGGACCACUUGGAGAAGUUGUUCAGAAAACACAAUUUUCAAUUUGAUAAAAUAGAGUGGGAUAAAUAUCUUGAUUUAUUGAUA
Hevea brasiliensis (rubber tree) is the source of this 3366-nucleotide RNA transcript. It is a transcript of the gene named serine/threonine-protein kinase EDR1, with no coding region annotated. The record is from RefSeq and is a predicted model, not a curated record. The transcript is spliced from 14 exons. NCBI's taxonomy places the organism in Eukaryota, Viridiplantae, Streptophyta, Magnoliopsida, Malpighiales, Euphorbiaceae.